UACGUAGGGGGCAAGCGUUGUCCGGAAUCAUUGGGCGUAAAGAGCGUGUAGGCGGCUUGGUAAGUCCGCUGUGAAAGUCCAGGGCUCAACCCUGGAAAGCCGGUGGAAACUGUCAAGCUUGAGUCCGGAAGAGGCGAGUGGAAUUCCUGGUGUAGCGGUGAAAUGCGCAGAUAUCAGGAAGAACACCCGUGGCUAAGGCGGCUCUCUAGUACGGUACUGACGCUGAGACGCGAAAGCGUGGGGAGCGAACAGG
This 253-nucleotide ribosomal RNA is filed under the name uncultured bacterium. RNAcentral describes it as "partial 16S ribosomal RNA". It matches the Rfam family "Bacterial small subunit ribosomal RNA", at positions 524 to 776 of the family's 1533-position model. The record is from RNAcentral.